This is a long non-coding RNA of Struthio camelus australis, 933 nucleotides long. Lineage: Eukaryota; Metazoa; Chordata; Aves; Struthioniformes; Struthionidae. The record is from Ensembl.
CAUAGACUUAAUGCAACAGCAAAAUGCCUUGUUCCCUGCCUUUGCUGCAACCCAUUUGGCCUCAAGAAGCAAGGGACCUGGAAACAUAACUUUGAUGUCUAAUUGCAAUGGAACAGCACCUCAAAAAAUUGGAUAACCUAUCUGAGCAUCCUGUCCAAACCUUCAUCUUUUUGGCCUAUACUUCUGCCACAAGAUUUCUCAGAGAAAUAUCUAUAUUUAUACAUUAUCUUCUUCUGCCAAUUUAAAAUUCACUUUAAAUAAUAGUAGAAUUACAGAAGCAUUGACUAAGCCCCAUACUGUUGUACUGAAGAAUGUAACUUGUUUCAAAGAACCAAGAUGCCCUGGGAAAGUGAAGUCACCACACUUUUCCAGUUAAUGUAUUUCUGACAUGCCUCUUCUGAUUUACCCUCACACUACUAAUGCCAAUUCACUACGUUGGAGCUUGCAUGACAACCAACUUCUUCACCAUCACGUCAGGAAUUGAAAAAUCAUCAAAUGACCUCAAUAUGUUUAACAACAAGUUUUAGCAAUCUAGAAAAGCAAAUAAUGGAUCUCAGUCUCACAGUCUACAACAGUCUGGGAAAGCAUUCUACACAGGACUUCUACUGGAUCUUGACUGGGCCUGGAGCAAGCAUGAUGGCGGACUGCACAGCCCUCAAAACAGCACUGAACACACCUGCACAGCAUGUAAAAUCAGAUAGUCAAGUCCUUCUUCAGUUUGGUGGUCUCCUGUUUGAGAACUUCUCUUUGGACUCAACUAAACUGCGCCAAUAUUCAGUGCCUCACAUACGCGAUGGCUACUUUUGGAACACUGGGGAUGGGUCACCAUAGAUCAGCAGUAAAACCCGCUUAACCAUCUGGCCUACCUUCUGGAAAUCUCUUCCUUCGGUCUGGCAUGGACUGAAUAAAUAUCUUCAUUUCUAAUAAUUGUCA